Molecule: ribosomal RNA, 465 nt
Filed under: uncultured bacterium
Lineage: Bacteria
Description: bacterial SSU rRNA
Rfam family: Bacterial small subunit ribosomal RNA
Source: RNAcentral
UUCCAGACUCCUACGGGAGGCAGCAGUGAGGAAUAUUGGUCAAUGGCCGGAAGGCUGAACCAGCCAAGUCGCGUGAGGGACGACUGCCCUAUGGGUUGUAAACCUCUUUUAUAAGGGAAGAAUAAAUGCUACGUGUAGCAUGAUGCCUGUACCUUAUGAAUAAGCAUCGGCUAACUCCGUGCCAGCAGCCGCGGUAAUACGGAGGAUGCGAGCGUUAUCCGGAUUUAUUGGGUUUAAAGGGUGCGCAGGCGGAGGUGCAAGUCAGCGGUCAAAUUGCGGGGCUCAACCCCGUACUGCCGUUGAAACUGCAUCCCUUGAGUGCGCGAGAAGUAUGCGGAAUGCGUGGUGUAGCGGUGAAAUGCAUAGAUAUCACGCAGAACUCCGAUUGCGAAGGCAGCAUACCGGCGCGCAACUGACGCUCAUGCACGAAAGCGUGGGUAUCGAACAGGAUUAGAUACCCGAGUA